This 1097-nucleotide unclassified non-coding RNA is filed under the name Hevea brasiliensis (rubber tree). The record is from RNAcentral. Lineage: Eukaryota; Viridiplantae; Streptophyta; Magnoliopsida; Malpighiales; Euphorbiaceae.
AGUCCUUGAUAGGUUUUGAACCUGUAGAUUUUAGUGAUGGUAAGACAGUCAAAAGUUGAAUGUAAAAUACAACGACAACUAAGCCUUAGUCCCAAAAUAGUUGGGGUCAGCUAUAGGAUCCUUUUUUUGCCAUUCAGCUUUGUUAGACACUAGGUUCACCAGUGUUGAAUGUAAAAUACAUUAAAAAAAAUUGCACGAAAGAUAGCAUCCAGAAAAUUCAUUUACCUAUGUUUCAGAUUCUAAUAAUGAUGUCAAAAGUUACAAUUGCAAAAUAGAACUAUGCGUUGAAAGAAUGAAGGGAAGGAAGAAGGUUUUGUUCAGAAAAGAGGAUCACUUUGUUCUAGCACAGUCUUGUAGCUAUAAUAAAUGAAAAUAUGCUGAUUAUCAACAACAUUUGACAUGAAAGUGCUCAAUAGUCAGUGCCCCAACCAGAUUAAAGAAUGCUAAAAUAAUUUUUGAAGAAGUCUGAUUACAUGCUUACUAGAGAUAUAUACAGCACUAGGCACCUUGGGCUGCAAUUGCAACAAAACCAUUUAGUGAUAAUACAAACUUUUAUGUAAUCACAGGAAAAGGAACCACCAGCAAAACAAGGCUAAUGUCAUCACUUUCAAAUUUCAAAAUAAUCUGGCUACGGUUAACCAAAGAAUAUGGGGGGAAAUACCCCAAGGUUAAUAACCAAAUUUCUCAGCUAGUGAAAUGUUUAGUUAACCAUCAUAUAGAACCUUGUAAAUAACAACUAUCAAACUAUAGCGAUUGAAUAUAACAGAACCAGAAUGGAAAACAGAAUAAUGUUCAAUAAGUUCAUUAAAAGAACACAAAUAUAAUGAGUUUUCAGCAUUAUAAGAUAAAGUAAAAUUCAAACAUUGGAAUGGACUCAUUUGAUAACAGGUCAACCAAUAUUAAGAAACUUGGUAUCAGACAGACCAUAAUCUCAAAAUAUAAACUUAAAGCAAUUUCACAAGAAAAGAUGAAAUGAAACAAUAUCAAUAAAAAGAUGAAAAUUUACAGAUAUCAAUUUUCACCAAAUCUGUCAACAAGAAGAAAAAUGAACUGAUGCUAUUGUAAAAAACGAUACCUGAGGAGAGGUGAGUGGAUUU